UGGAAACUACCAUCUCCAA
RNAcentral lists this small nuclear RNA (19 nucleotides) under Arabidopsis thaliana (thale cress). RNAcentral describes it as "snRNA_02418". Lineage: Eukaryota; Viridiplantae; Streptophyta; Magnoliopsida; Brassicales; Brassicaceae. The record is from RNAcentral.